RNAcentral lists this long non-coding RNA (1079 nucleotides) under Ananas comosus (pineapple). Its description in RNAcentral is "long non-coding RNA (ACOM_LNC006996)". Lineage: Eukaryota; Viridiplantae; Streptophyta; Magnoliopsida; Poales; Bromeliaceae. The record is from RNAcentral.
UCGGCCUCCGUUUGGUUCGGGGUUAAGAAAAAAAUAGUUAUUCCACGGAUAGAGUUAAGUUCAGGGUUAAGUGGGGUUAAAGUUUUUUUGUGUAUUGUUGGGGGUUGGAGUUAGUCUAGAAUAAUGAAAAAUAGUGUUUGGUUGGAGUAGGUGGGAUAAGAAGAUAAUGAUUGAUAAAGAAGGAUAGUGAUUGGUUGGAGUAGGUAUGAUAAGAAAGAUAGUGUGUUAUUAUGAAUAGAAAAUAGUGUUUGGUUGGAGUUUGUUAGGUUGGAUGUGCUAGUGGUAUGCCACUAGUACAGCCCGUGAUGAUAUACUAUGCCGUACUGCUUCCAUGUCAGCAUGGGUCAUAUCAAUGAUUCAACAAUACUUAUUCUUAAAGAUCAUUUGAUUAGAUGUAGUUAUAAAUAUAGUAUUAUUGGAUAUGCAUAUAGUUGAAAAUAUAGUAAUUACAGUUGCAUGUAUCUUAUUAGGUUUGAUGUAAUGAAAAGCACAACUAUAAAUAAUCUUUUUGUUUGUAUACGAUUGGAAAUUCUACUUUCAAAUUUUAUUAUUGACCUCAAUUUCAAACUUAAGCAUCUAAAAUUUUAAUAGAUGCCCCUUCAAAAUCUAAAAUAUCACUUAUACCCUAAUAAAUAUACUAAUUUUAUCACAAAUGCUGUCACGCCCCGGGGUCCCUUUUUAGUUUAAAGCAUAGCGGAAAAGCGUCUGAAUUUUUUUUUUUUUUUUUUUGAAAACCUGACCCAAGGGUAUGCCAUAUCCGCCACAAAUACAGGAGAUCCACUGUUCACACGGACAGAGUCUCCCCUGUAUUUGUACGGCGUCGCACAAGUAUAAGAGUUCAAACAUGAUACAACCACAACCAGAUGAACAUACAAAUAACCACAGUUAUAUAUUCAUACACCAUUCACCACAGGUUCAUAUUUUUACAUUCAAUAUUUAAACAUAAAUCCACAUCUAUCAGUUAAAAUAUUUCCAACCACAGAAACAAGUUUUGAAAUACUAAGAUACAAAAUCACAGAAAACCCUUUGAAAACUGUUCCCUACACGGGAACUUUUAUCUUUUUAAAACGCUACCACGA